ACAGUUUUACAACUUCAAUUACUGUUUAAAACUACUGACACCCAAAUCCUACCUGUCUGGCAGCUAUCAAGCACACACAUAUAAACACAUUUCACAACAGCGGCAUCAGCACACCCACAUUCUUAAUGUCAUACACUACCUUAUAAAUACAGACACAUCAGAUCAGACAGGCACUGCUGCAGACAUUACUACAACAGGAAAAGACUUUUUACUGCACUUGUCAACGAGACAAAAUGAGUGGCCGUGGCAAGGCGGUGAGUCAGUUUUUUCCCUUACUGCACUUUACACCUGUGACUAACAGCAUGAAAACAUGUGUACUAAAGAAGCCAUUUCCCUCCAGUGGGGAGGAGUAGAGAAGCUAUGAGGACCAUGUGGGUUAAGAUACCUUUAUUUUCCAAUGUUUGCUUUUGUUGCUUUAGUUUCUGAUCCUGUAACCUUGUUGCAUUCUGGUACAUUUUAUUUAAUUUGUGUCAGGAGGCUAAAACAGGUGCAGAGAACUGCAUCACAAAAUUUUUCUUACGAUUGCUUUUAGAAGGGGCGUGGAAAUGGAUCUCCUGGAAGGAAGGAUAAAUCUCCAGAUAAAUCUGGUGGACCUCCAGAUGAACGUCGUGGACCUCCAGGUGAACGUCGUGGACCUCCAGAUGAACGUCGUGGACCUCCAGGUGAACGUCGUGGAUCUCAGGACAGACAACCUGAUGAUGCUGGUGAACCUGAAUAGGAAUGGAAAUGUAGUGAUAACAUCUAAAUGAUGAACACUGUGUGAUAUUGAUUCUAAUCAAUUAAAUGAAUCUCCAAUAAAGUAAUCCAGAAACUGAUAA
Acanthochromis polyacanthus (spiny chromis) is the source of this 818-nucleotide long non-coding RNA. RefSeq lists it as uncharacterized. The record is from RefSeq and is a predicted model, not a curated record. Lineage: Eukaryota; Metazoa; Chordata; Actinopteri; Pomacentridae. The transcript is spliced from 3 exons.